UACGUAUGGUGCGAACGUUGUUCGGAAUCACUGGGCGUAAAGCGCGUGUAGGCGGACAAUCAAGUCAGGUGUGAAAUCCCCGGGCUCAACCUGGGAACUGCAUCUGAAACUGGUUGUCUUGAGUAUCGGAGAGGGAAGCGGAAUUCCUGGUGUAGAGGUGAAAUUCGUAGAUAUCAGGAGGAACACCGGUGGCGAAGGCGGCUUCCUGGACGAUUACUGACGCUGAGACGCGAAAGUGUGGGUAGCAAACAGG
RNAcentral lists this ribosomal RNA (253 nucleotides) under uncultured bacterium. RNAcentral describes it as "partial 16S ribosomal RNA". It matches the Rfam family "Bacterial small subunit ribosomal RNA", at positions 524 to 776 of the family's 1533-position model. The record is from RNAcentral.